This 506-nucleotide ribosomal RNA is filed under the name uncultured bacterium. Its description in RNAcentral is "partial 16S ribosomal RNA". It matches the Rfam family "Bacterial small subunit ribosomal RNA", at positions 28 to 523 of the family's 1533-position model. The record is from RNAcentral.
GAUGAACGCUAGCUACAGGCUUAACACAAGCAAGUCGAGGGGUAACGAGAGGAAAGCUUGCUUUCCUUGUCGACGACCGGCGCACGGGUGAGUAACGCGUAUCCAACCUGCCCCCAACUAGGGAAUAACCUUGCGAAAGUAAGACUAAUACCCUAUAAUUUCCUCAGAUGUCAUCUGACGAGGAAUAAAGAUUUAUCGGUUAUGGAUGGGGAUGCGUCUGAUUAGCUUGUUGGCGGGGUAACGGCCCACCAAGGCAACGAUCAGUAGGGGUUCUGAGAUGAAGGUCCCCCUCAUUGUAACUGAGACACGGUCCAAACUCCUACGGGAGGCAGCAGUGAGGAAUAUUGGUCAAUGGGCGGAAGCCUGAACCAGCCAAGUAGCGUGCAGGAUGACGGCCCUAUGGGUUGUAAACUGCUUUUAUACAGGAAUAAAGUUGGCCACGUGUGGUUAUUUGUAGGUACUGUAUGAAUAAGGACCGGCUAAUUCCGUGCCAGCCGCCGCGGUAA